AAGGACAACGGCCAUCCCUGUGGCUGGGCCGCCGGCUACGCAAUGCUGUCUCUCUUGCUGAUCCUCUCAGGCCUGGGCCGGCUGACCUCCGCGGGCCCACGCCACUUAUUCCAUCAAAAUUGAGGGGAAACCAUACACUUCCUGCUUGAAAAACAGUCAUUUUUACACCCACAUUUCCUGGUGUAUUUAUACAACAAAUCAGGAACAUUGUAUGCAGAUUCUUCAUUUUCAAAGGGUCAUUGCUUUUACCAAGGAUAUGCUGCAGACAUUCCAAAAUCAGUUGUGGCACUACGCACCUGUUCUGGACUCAGAUGUUUUCCCAGCUUAAUAUGACAGUUAUGCUGUCUUCCUUGGAGAUCUGGUCAGAUCAAAAUAAGAUUUCAACAAGUGGUCAUGCUGAUGAAAUACUACAGCGAUUUUUGCCUUGGAAACAAAAAUUUUUGUUUCAAAGGUCUCAUGAUAUGACAUACUUAUUAAUUUAUAGGAACCAUUCUACUUAUGUGGGAGCAACAUAUCACGGAAUGGCAUGCGAUCCAAAGUUUGCAACAGGAAUUGCUCUGUAUCCAAAGAAAAUCACUGCAGAGGCCUUUUCAGUUGUUAUGGCACAGUUGCUUGGAAUUAAUCUGGGAUUGACAUAUGAUGAUAUCUACAAUUGUUACUGUCCAGGAACUACAUGCAUAAUGAAUCCUGAUGCGAUAUGAUCCCAUGGUAUGAAGUUUUUUAGCAGUUGCAGCAUGGAUGGAUUUAAACGGAUAGUUCUGCAGCCUGAACUUAAAUGUUUUCAGGAUAAAACAGUUUCAAAAAUGACUUACCGAAAAUCUUCAACUUGUGGCAAUGGAAUUUUGGAACCUACAGAGCAGUGUGAUUGUGGCUAUAAAGAGGCAUGCACUCAUAAAAAAUGCUGUAAUCCUGCAGAUUGUACUCUAGUUAGAUCUGCAGAAUGUGGCACUGGAUCAUGCUGUAACAAUAAAACUUGUACGAUCCACGAAAGAGGCCAUGUCUGCAGAAAAAGUGUAGAUAUGUGUGAUUUUCCAGAAUAUUGCAAU
This 1046-nucleotide long non-coding RNA is filed under the name Homo sapiens (human). Its description in RNAcentral is "non-protein coding lnc-ADAM2-6:6". Lineage: Eukaryota; Metazoa; Chordata; Mammalia; Primates; Hominidae. The record is from RNAcentral.